Molecule: ribosomal RNA, 369 nt
Filed under: uncultured organism
Description: bacterial SSU rRNA
Rfam family: Bacterial small subunit ribosomal RNA
Source: RNAcentral
CGUAGGGUGCGAGCGUUAAUCGGAAUUACUGGGCGUAAAGCGUGCGCAGGCGGUUUUGUAAGCCAGAUGUGAAAUCCCCGGGCUCAACCUGGGAAUGGCAUUUGGGACUGCAAGGCUUGAGUGCGGCAGAGGAGACUGGAAUUCCUGGUGUAGCAGUGAAAUGCGUAGAUAUCAGGAGGAAUACCGAUGGCGAAGGCAGGUCUCUGGGCUGACACUGACGCUCAUGCACGAAGCGUGGGGAGCAAACAGGAUUAGAUACCCUGGUAGUCCACGCCCUAACGAUGUCGACUGGUUGUUGGGGGUUUGACACUCUCAGUAACGAAGCUAACGCGUGAAGUCGACCGCCUGGGGAGUACGGCCGCAAGGUUA